GCAAUUCAAUAUAUUUCUAUCUUUUACAAACCAACGUAUUAUAAUGAUUUUCACAAACCAAAAAGAUUAUAAUUGUUGGAUGCAACCCAACAUGCUGUAUAAAUAUUACAUAUACCUCAUAAAAUGAUAAGCUACAUAAUAAUAAUAAUAAUACAACCCAAAAAGUUCAAGCCUACAUUACAUAAAACCUAUAAAUAUUAUAUACAACCCAUAAUUUGAAUACAACUGAAUAGGCUCAAAGCCUAUAAAUAUUAUAUGCAGCCCAUAAAAAAUAAUAUAUUCUCUAUGAAAAUUAAUGAAAAUUCUGAAGAAAGAAAAUAAAGAAAUUUGUUUUCUUUCACAUUUCCAAAUUGCAAAAAAAAAAAAAAAAAAAAUCAUUUAAAUCUAAAGAAACUACGAGAAAUGAAUCUCUUUAGCCAAAUAAAAAAUAUGUAUUACAAUUUGAAUCGGCCAUUAAAAAAUAAAGCGGGCAUCCUUCCUCGGCAUUUUAUCAAACACCUGGUAGGUAACAAUUUAUUUUUCUCUUCCUCAACAACAUUAUAUAAUAGAUUCCAGCCCGAAAAUCAACCCUAGAUUUUCUGGUUUACUGCACUCAGUAAUAUUGUACUGUUUUCUUUCCUUUUCCUAAUAUAAAACAAAUGAUUUCUUUACAUAUAUCAUCCCGUAUUAAAGAAUCACAACCCUUUACACGAUUAAAGAAAAGAUUUCUUUGAUAGAAAUAAAGGCGAAACAUUUCAAUCUGAAUCAGUCACGGAAAAAGAAAGCGGGCUGGAAGAUCCUCCUUACCAGGGAAGGGAGCGGAAAGCAAUGCCGAAUCGGAAAGAAACUGGAAUGGAGAAAAUCGAAGGCAAUGAAAGGCGAAACGUUUCUGUCUCAGAAGGCAAGGCAGAGUAAAUGAGGAGGAAAAAUACCGUUAGGGACAGCUGGCGACCAAUUCAGUAUUGUCGUUUCCAAUUUGGCCCCUGCCUUUUCCAGAAUUACCCUUACAUGAAUAACCUUUUUUGAAAAAAACGAUGCCGUUUGACUACUUGGAGGAAAAUUAUUUUGUUAGGCUGCUACGGACUGAGCUUAAAUUAAUUAAUUAC
This 1085-nucleotide long non-coding RNA is filed under the name Carica papaya (papaya). RNAcentral's name for it is "long non-coding RNA (CPAP_LNC000748)". The record is from RNAcentral. Lineage: Eukaryota; Viridiplantae; Streptophyta; Magnoliopsida; Brassicales; Caricaceae.